This 917-nucleotide ribosomal RNA is filed under the name uncultured archaeon. Its description in RNAcentral is "bacterial SSU rRNA". It matches the Rfam family "Archaeal small subunit ribosomal RNA", at positions 4 to 922 of the family's 1478-position model. The record is from RNAcentral.
CUGGUUGAUCCUGCCAGAGGUUACUGCUAUCGAGAUUCGACUAAGCCAUGCGAGUCGAAUGUUCUUCGUGAACAUGGCGGACUGCUCAGUAACACGUGGACAACCUACCCUUGGGUCUGGCAUAAUCCUGGGAAACUGGGUAUAAUUCCAGAUAGGUCACAGAUGCUGGAAUGCACUGUGGCCGAAAGCUCCGGCGCCCAAGGAUGGGUCUGCGGCCUAUCAGGGUUGUAGUGGGUGUAACGGACCUACUAGCCUACGACGGGUACGGGUUGUGAGAGCAAGAGCCCGGAGAUGGAUUCUGAGACACGAAUCCAGGCCCUACGGGGUGCAGCAGGCGCGAAAACUUUACAAUGCGGGAAACCGUGAUAAGGGAAUCUCGAGUGCCAGCAUAUAAUGUUGGCUGUCCAGAUGCCUAAAAAGCAUCUGUUAGCAAGGGCCGGGCAAGACCGGUGCCAGCCGCCGCGGUAACACCGGCGGCCCGAGUGGUAACCGCUUUUAUUGGGUCUAAAGGGUCUGUAGCCGGCCAAGUAAGUCCCUUGGGAAAUCUGGCAGCUUAACUGUCAGGCUGCUAGGGGAUACUGCUAGGCUUGGGACCGGGAGAGGUGAGAGGUACCUUGGGGGUAGGGGUGAAAUCUUGUGAUCCUCGGGGGACCACCAGUGGCGAAGGCGUCUCACCAGAACGGGCCUGACGGCAAGGGACGAAAGCUAGGGGCACGAACCGGAUUAGAUACCCGGGUAGUCCUAGCCGUAAACGAUACUCGCUAGGUGUCGGCCACGGUGCGACCGUUGUCGGUGCCGUAGGGAAGCCGUGAAGCGAGCCACCUGGGAAGUACGGCCGCAAGGCUGAAACUUAAAGGAAUUGGCGGGGGAGCACCACAACAGGUGGAGCUUGCGGUUUAAUUGGAUUCAACGCCGGA